AAAGAAAUAAAACAUGUUUUCAAACUUUGUUUGAAGAGAUAUUAGAGUCGGCGAAAGUGGCAUGAACUAAAGUGAGAGAAAAUCACAUUUUUUCUAAGAAACACACAAGGCUAACACUAAAGUUUUGAAGGUACCUGAGAAGAAGGAAGACAAGAAGAAACCCAAGGAUGAGUAAUCAAUCUAAGACAUUUGGAGAUCAGGGAAUCCCAAGUGCAGGCAGCUUUUUCUCACAGAUAACUCCUUCAAGAUAAAAUAUGGACAGCCGUUAUCUAGUUUACUGCUGUAUUUAUAAAGUACAAACACCAUCAUUUCUUCAGUAACCAAAUAACUGUUAAACGUGAAGUUUCCUUCAGUGAAUACCUGAAUUCCUAAAUUAUAACCAGAUAUGUCCGGCCCAGGAGACAAGAGAGAACAAAAACCCUACCGCCCUCCCCCAUACGAGAGGCCUUAUGGACCUCCUGAUAACCCCAAGGAUCGUCCAAGAGCUUAAACUUACAUCUCCAAUGUUAUCCAGCUUCAUAGUUUACACAUCUAAGCUUAUAUAGUAAUAUUUUAUGCUAAGUUAGUAAUUUCGGAGGUCCACGCCAUUCCUGUACAAGGAAUUAUGCUGUGUGGAGCUGAAGUAACUUAAAGUGAAACUACGAUACUUGGAUUGUAUGCUCCCUGUCCUGAUCAACCAGUACCUCAUUCGACAGGGGAUGAUGGUAUACGACUUCUGGAGAAGUGCUGGCCAUAGCGUUAAUUAUGUUUCUGCCAAAUUGCGCAAUGGACAGCGAUAAUUGAUUCGACUGAUUAAUUAACUAUGUUCAAGUUCAAUUCAUAGACCAUCUGAUAGAAUAUGUUGGUCUUUUCUAGAAAGGCUUAGGUACUCUGUUGCACCGAAAUUAGUCAACUGUGUCACCCAUCUAUCAAUGUUGGAAAAACCACAUCAUGGCAUGAUUUUUUGGGAAAUACUGAAGAGAUAAACUCAAGAUGAGAGUGUAUUGUUGUGAUCAGUUCAUAUUGAUUGUUCAUUUAUCAAUCACAAUAUAGAUACUGGUGAAUUGAUAAUGUCACGUUUGUUCCAAUAUCAUUAUCCAAUUUAUUUGUAAGUAGGUAUACUGAAGUAUGUUCAGAAUGAUUGUUUUUGAAAUGUUUUGAUGUUUGAUUAUUUAAUUUUAUUUGUAGAAUCUCUAAUAAAUUGUAUUACUUAUUAAACAAUAAAAACUGUAUCAUUUCAAAUUCUACUUACUUACCUUUAUUUGUACAGCUUAUUUCAGCUGGUCAUUAAAAAACAAAUACGAAUCGAAA
Molecule: long non-coding RNA, 1290 nt
Filed under: Helicoverpa zea (corn earworm)
Lineage: Eukaryota; Metazoa; Arthropoda; Insecta; Lepidoptera; Noctuidae
Description: uncharacterized LOC124634722, transcript variant X4
Source: RNAcentral